GACGAACGCUGGCGGCGUGCUUAACACAUGCAAGUCGAACGGAAAGGCCCUGCGCUUGUGGGGUGCUCGAGUGGCGAACGGGGGAGUAACACGUGAGUAACCUGCCCUUGACUUUGGGAUAACUUCAGGAAACUGGGGCUAAUACCGGAUAGGAGCUCCUGCUGCAUGGUGGGGGUUGGAAAGUUUCGGCGGUUGGGGAUGGACUCGCGGCUUAUCAGCUUGAUUGUGGGGUAGUGGCUUACCAAGGCUUUGACGGGUAGCCGGCAUGGGAGGGUGAACGGCGUCCUUGGGACUGCGGUACGGCCCAGAAUCGUACGGGCGGCAGCAGUGGGGAAUAUUGCGCAAUGGGCGGAAGCCUGAUGCGGCAACGCCGCGUGCGGGAUGCCGGCCUUCGGGUUGUAAACCGCUUUCGCAUGUGACGAAGCGUGAGUGACGGUAAUGGGUAAAGAAGCACCGGCUAACUACGUG
RNAcentral lists this ribosomal RNA (468 nucleotides) under uncultured bacterium. Its description in RNAcentral is "partial 16S ribosomal RNA". It matches the Rfam family "Bacterial small subunit ribosomal RNA", at positions 28 to 507 of the family's 1533-position model. The record is from RNAcentral.